RNAcentral lists this ribosomal RNA (477 nucleotides) under uncultured bacterium. RNAcentral describes it as "partial 16S ribosomal RNA". It matches the Rfam family "Bacterial small subunit ribosomal RNA", at positions 28 to 507 of the family's 1533-position model. The record is from RNAcentral.
GAUAAACGCUGGCGGCGUGCAUAACACAUGCAAGUCGAACGAUGAAGCUUAACUGAUUUCUUCGGAAUGAUUUUAAGUGGAUUAGUGGCGGACGGGUGAGUAACGCGUGAGUAACCUGCCUUGCACAAGGGGAUAGCCGUUGGAAACGACGAAUAAUACCCUAUGAUAUAAACUCUUCGCAUGAAGGGCUUAUCAAAGAUUUAUCGGUGUAAGAUGGACUCGCGUCUGAUUAGCUAGUUGGUGGGGUAACAGCCUACCAAGGCAACGAUCAGUAGCCGGCUUGAGAGAGUGUACGGCCGCAUUGGGACUGAGACACGGCCCAGACUCCGACGGGAGGCAGCAGUGGGGAAUUUUGCACAAUGGGGGAAACCCUGAUGCAGCGACGCCGCGUGAUUUAGAAGGCCUUCGGGUUGUAAAAAUCUUUUGUAUGGGAAGAAAAUGACAGUACCAUACGAAUAAGGACCGGCUAAUUACGUG